Molecule: ribosomal RNA, 1314 nt
Filed under: Escherichia coli
Lineage: Bacteria; Pseudomonadati; Pseudomonadota; Gammaproteobacteria; Enterobacterales; Enterobacteriaceae
Description: bacterial LSU rRNA
Rfam family: Bacterial large subunit ribosomal RNA
Source: RNAcentral
GGGUUGUGAGGUUAAGCGACUAAGCGUACACGGUGGAUGCCCUGGCAGUCAGAGGCGAUGAAGGACGUGCUAAUCUGCGAUAAGCGUCGGUAAGGUGAUAUGAACCGUUAUAACCGGCGAUUUCCGAAUGGGGAAACCCAGUGUGUUUCGACACACUAUCAUUAACUGAAUCCAUAGGUUAAUGAGGCGAACCGGGGGAACUGAAACAUCUAAGUACCCCGAGGAAAAGAAAUCAACCGAGAUUCCCCCAGUAGCGGCGAGCGAACGGGGAGCAGCCCAGAGCCUGAAUCAGUGUGUGUGUUAGUGGAAGCGUCUGGAAAGGCGCGCGAUACAGGGUGACAGCCCCGUACACAAAAAUGCACAUGCUGUGAGCUCGAUGAGUAGGGCGGGACACGUGGUAUCCUGUCUGAAUAUGGGGGGACCAUCCUCCAAGGCUAAAUACUCCUGACUGACCGAUAGUGAACCAGUACCGUGAGGGAAAGGCGAAAAGAACCCCGGCGAGGGGAGUGAAAAAGAACCUGAAACCGUGUACGUACAAGCAGUGGGAGCACGCUUAGGCGUGUGACUGCGUACCUUUUGUAUAAUGGGUCAGCGACUUAUAUUCUGUAGCAAGGUUAACCGAAUAGGGGAGCCGAAGGGAAACCGAGUCUUAACUGGGCGUUAAGUUGCAGGGUAUAGACCCGAAACCCGGUGAUCUAGCCAUGGGCAGGUUGAAGGUUGGGUAACACUAACUGGAGGACCGAACCGACUAAUGUUGAAAAAUUAGCGGAUGACUUGUGGCUGGGGGUGAAAGGCCAAUCAAACCGGGAGAUAGCUGGUUCUCCCCGAAAGCUAUUUAGGUAGCGCCUCGUGAAUUCAUCUCCGGGGGUAGAGCACUGUUUCGGCAAGGGGGUCAUCCCGACUUACCAACCCGAUGCAAACUGCGAAUACCGGAGAAUGUUAUCACGGGAGACACACGGCGGGUGCUAACGUCCGUCGUGAAGAGGGAAACAACCCAGACCGCCAGCUAAGGUCCCAAAGUCAUGGUUAAGUGGGAAACGAUGUGGGAAGGCCCAGACAGCCAGGAUGUUGGCUUAGAAGCAGCCAUCAUUUAAAGAAAGCGUAAUAGCUCACUGGUCGAGUCGGCCUGCGCGGAAGAUGUAACGGGGCUAAACCAUGCACCGAAGCUGCGGCAGCGACACUAUGUGUUGUUGGGUAGGGGAGCGUUCUGUAAGCCUGCGAAGGUGUGCUGUGAGGCAUGCUGGAGGUAUCAGAAGUGCGAAUGCUGACAUAAGUAACGAUAAAGCGGGUGAAAAGCCCGCUCGCCGGAAGACC